UACGGGGGGAGCAAGCGUUGUUCGGAUUUACUGGGCGUAAAGGGCGCGUAGGCGGCCUUCUAAGUCGAACGUGAAAUCCCCGGGCUCAACCCGGGAACUGCGUCCGAUACUGGGAGGCUUGAAUCCGGGAGAGGGAUGUGGAAUUCCAGGUGUAGCGGUGAAAUGCGUAGAUAUCUGGAGGAACACCGGUGGCGAAGGCGGCAUCCUGGACCGGUAUUGACGCUGAGGCGCGAAAGCCAGGGGAGCAAACGGG
This 253-nucleotide ribosomal RNA is filed under the name uncultured bacterium. RNAcentral describes it as "partial 16S ribosomal RNA". It matches the Rfam family "Bacterial small subunit ribosomal RNA", at positions 524 to 776 of the family's 1533-position model. The record is from RNAcentral.